GAUGAACGCUGGCGGCGUGCUUAACACAUGCAAGUCGAACGAAGCACUUUAUUUGAUUUCCUUCGGGACUGAUUAUUUUGUGACUGAGUGGCGGACGGGUGAGUAACGCGUGGGUAACCUGCCUUGUACAGGGGGAUAACAGUUGGAAACGGCUGCUAAUACCGCAUAAGCGCACGGCAUCGCAUGAUGCAGUGUGAAAAACUCCGGUGGUAUAAGAUGGACCCGCGUUGGAUUAGCUAGUUGGUGAGGUAACGGCCCACCAAGGCGACGAUCCAUGGCCGACCUGAGAGGGUGACCGGCCACAUUGGGACUGAGACACGGCCCAAACUCCUACGGGAGGCAGCAGUGGGGAAUAUUGCACAAUGGGCGAAAGCCUGAUGCAGCGACGCCGCGUGAGCGAAGAAGUAUUUCGGUAUGUAAAGCUCUAUCAGCAGGGAAGAUAAUGACGGUACCUGACUAAGAAGCACCGGCUAAAUACGUG
RNAcentral lists this ribosomal RNA (481 nucleotides) under uncultured bacterium. Its description in RNAcentral is "partial 16S ribosomal RNA". It matches the Rfam family "Bacterial small subunit ribosomal RNA", at positions 28 to 507 of the family's 1533-position model. The record is from RNAcentral.